AUUGAACGCUGGCGGCAGGCCUAACACAUGCAAGUCGAGCGGAUGAAGGGAGCUUGCUCCUGGAUUCAGCGGCGGACGGGUGAGUAAUGCCUAGGAAUCUGCCUGGUAGUGGGGGAUAACGUCCGGACACGGGCGCUAAUACCGCAUACGUCCUGAGGGAGAAAGUGGGGGAUCUUCGGACCUCACGCUAUCAGAUGUGCCUAGGUCGGAUUAGCUAGUUGGUGGGGUAAAGGCCUACCAAGGCGACGAUCCGUAACUGGUCUGAGAGGAUGAUCAGUCACACUGGAACUGAGACACGGUCCAGACUCCUACGGGAGGCAGCAGUGGGGAAUAUUGGACAAUGGGCGGAAGCCUGAUCCAGCCAUGCCGCGUGUGUGAAGAAGGUCUUCGGAUUGUAAAGCACUUUAAGUUGGGAGGAAGGGCAGUAAGUUAAUACCUUGCUGUUUUGACGUUACCAACAGAAUAAGCACCGGCUAACUUCGUG
Molecule: ribosomal RNA, 484 nt
Filed under: uncultured bacterium
Lineage: Bacteria
Description: partial 16S ribosomal RNA
Rfam family: Bacterial small subunit ribosomal RNA
Source: RNAcentral